Molecule: small RNA, 99 nt
Filed under: Homo sapiens (human)
Lineage: Eukaryota; Metazoa; Chordata; Mammalia; Primates; Hominidae
Description: nc046 non-coding RNA
Source: RNAcentral
AUGGAAAUACAGAAAUACGUGUCGAGUUGCUACUUAUAGACUUUUAAAUAUUUAAAGAAAAAAAUUGCUAAAAGCAGAUGAAUGCUUCUUCACCUCAAG